ACUGUGUGACUGAAAGGGCUUUAUGGCGGCGGAAUUACGUCCGCCGUCUGCGCACUGACGCCUUCCCAUUGGUCACAGAGGGGAUGAUGACUAUUCUGUUUCCUCGCGUUAUCAUUGGUGGACCCCAUCUCUGUUUAGCUGUUCUUCUUCCUGGAACAGCAUCCUGUGGUCAAGGAAGCUGAAGCUUUCCUGGUAACAUCAUCCUCGCAGCCAGGCAUUCACCUCCAGGAUGCAUCUGUCUCUGCCUGGACCCCACUAGGGUGACCAGACAGCAAGUGUGAAAAAUCAGGACAGAGGUGGGGGAUAAUAGAAGCCUAUAUAAGAAAAAGACCCAAAAAUCGGGACUGUCCCUGUAAAAUCGGGACAUAUGGUCACCCUAGCCCCUACCCUUGACUGGAAAGACUGAAGAGAACACCACCUGUGCUCCCAGCUCCUUCACCCUUACUCCCAGAGCCCUGUAGUCACUUCUGAUCUGCUGAGGGUCAUACCUCGCAGUAUCAUUAGUGCCCACGUGGAUGAGCAGCAUGGAGUAGUAGUCAGAGGGCCGGAUGAUCCUCAACACUCCCUCUGUAACCUCUCAGAAUGGGCCCCUGGCAGACAGCAUACCUCCCGGGAUGCCAUGUCAGGGCAACAGAUGGGUGCCUCCAUCCCCCUCAGAAGAGUCUCCAACCACCUCUACCCUACGUUUCCUCCUGGGAGUGGUGGCUGUGAUCCUCCCAGCCUCGGUGGGGUACAUGGCUUCUCUUCUCUUCUUCAACGUUUGGGGAUGAUUCCUCAUCAUUCAUUGUGAUGGCAGCAUAACAGUUCUCCACCAUAGUGGGUGGGUUGGGAGUAGGGGUGGAGCACUGCCUGCUGCCAGGAGUAACCAGCAGCUAGUGUCCUCCCUGUAUCACAGUGUUAUCCUCCUCCCCUGGGGGCGUGACAGCAAUCCUAUCUAGCUGGAUAGCGUCCUCAGCCUAGGAAGUCUCCAUAUGAAUACUGUCAAUGGAUUCCUCUUGUGCACAGAUGCUCCUCAGUCUAGCCACCUCCUCCUGUAGCUCUCCCAUCUGCUUCCGGAGAGAUUCCACCAGCAGGCACCUUUCACACUGGAUGGUCCCCCCCAGCCUGGUUUUCUGUGAGUGAGAAAUGCAGGCCACAGUUUCUGCAAAUCCACACCAGGAUCUGGAUAGAGGCAUUCGUGGUUAGGUUCUGUCUGGAUACAGCAGGGCUGGUGCAACCAUUUAGGCAAACUAGGCGGCCGCCUAGGGCGCCUAACGGUUUGGGGCGCCUAAAAGCCCCCUCAGACUAGCAUGGCUGCUACUCUGAAACCUGUCAGAAGCAAAGGAGAACACGUUUAGUAAGCAGAUGAGGGAGGCUGCUCCAGCCAGUGUAGAAGGAAGCCCUCACCCGCCCACUCUGUUAGGAGGUGGCCAGUGCCAGUAAGCAGAGAAGGAGGUCACCUGGUAAGGAGCACAAAGGAGGAAGAAGGAAAUGAUGAUGAGGGAGAUGAAGCUGUAGAUUUGCCUCUUUGUCUCCCGCUCCAGUGAUGGCACCUGCCUGAGCUUGUGCAGGACCCGGAGGUAGAAGAAGCCCAUGAAGAAGCAGGGUAGGAAGAAGGACAAAGCCAUGGUGGCUAUCUUAAAACAUGCAUAUCUCUACCCACAGACUUGAACUGAAAUAGCAGAAGGGGUGAAUUACAAUUGAUUUAAUCAUUUUGAAGAAGGUUUGUGUGAAGAACCAGCCGAAGGGUCCUUUGAAAAUCCCAGCCUAACGUGACUGGUGCUGUAUAGGUCUACUUGAGAGUCACUUUUUUAUGCAGCCAAGGAUUGCAUUAGCCCUUUUGGCCAUAGCAUCACUCAUAUUCAGCUGGUCUACCAUGACCCCUAAAUCUUUUUCAGUCUCACUGCUUCCCAGGAAAGACUCUCCCAUUCUAGAUGACCUUGGGAGCCCAGCCUCCCUCUUUAUCAGCGGCAGAACGGCUGCGGAGAAUUAGAAGGCAGCCAAGAAGAAUUAAGGAGGGCUUCUGAGUGAGGUUAUGAUGCACUCCACUGCCGAGAAACAGGAAUUGAAGGAGUGACAGGACAGCGAGAAGAGGGACUGAAAGGAGAAUGCGGCAUGCCAGAAAGAAGCCACGGAGUGGCUCUUAAACUUUAUGGAGUGCCAAGUGGACACACUCCAGGCAAUACUAACUCUUCAAACCAAGCAGCUCCGCACCCGCCCUCCCCUGCUGCUGCUGUCACAAAACUCUGUCCCAUGUGCCCCCCAGACACUGCUAACCCACUCUUACCAACCUCCUGGCUCCAGUCUCUACCUGCAGCAUUCCACUCCUCCCUCCUCACAGUCCAGCACUGUGGACUUCCCCUACCCGCUGCACUCAACACCCAUCCCUCUACAGUUUGGCCCUACUGAAGUACAAUACCUGUUGCAUUGUACUUCAGUGGAAAACUGGAUAUGAUCCCUGGACAUACCUAAAUCUUUAUCCAUCCUGGGACCCCUCCUCCUCCUGAGACCUUCCUUUCCCCCAUUCCCCUCAGUGCUGAUGUAUUUUUUCAUUUGACUCUGUCCUCUGGUUGUUGUCUUUUAAUAAAAGAAUUGUUGGUUUGAAA
Long non-coding RNA from Gopherus flavomarginatus (Mexican gopher tortoise), 2585 nucleotides. RefSeq lists it as uncharacterized. The record is from RefSeq and is a predicted model, not a curated record. The transcript has 7 exons. Lineage: Eukaryota; Metazoa; Chordata; Testudines; Testudinidae.